Molecule: ribosomal RNA, 254 nt
Filed under: uncultured bacterium
Lineage: Bacteria
Description: partial 16S ribosomal RNA
Rfam family: Bacterial small subunit ribosomal RNA
Source: RNAcentral
UACGGGGGGAGCAAGCGUUGUUCGGAUUUACUGGGCGUAAAGGGCGCGUAGGCGGUCAGCACAAGUCAGUUGUGAAAUCUCCGGGCUUAACUCGGAAAGGUCAACUGAUACUGUGCGACUAGAGUGCAGAAGGGGCAACUGGAAUUCUCGGUGUAGCGGUGAAAUGCGUAGAUAUCGAGAGGAACACCUGCGGCGAAGGCGGGUUGCUGGGUUGACACUGACGCUGAUGCGCGAAAGCCAGGGGAGCGAACGGG